CACCCGGGCCGGCCGGCGGGUGUUUACGCGGCACCGAGAUGGGAACGGGGCAGGGGCAGCGGCAGCGGGCUCGGGGCGGGGCAGGGCAGUCAGCCGGGGCUCGCUCCCUGGCGCCUCAGGAGAGCCGCUUUGCCGGGCCCCGGGGCAGCCCCUUCGCUCAGGGCGUGCGGUGUGCGCCGGGCGGCGGCGGGGAUCGGGUGACCCCGGGGCGCUUGGUGGUUGCGCUGUACUUUGCCAGGAGCGCUGAAUUGGCAGGGGUUCGCUCUGAGAUUAUUUCUGUCCCGCGACAAUUAACCUCUCUGCAGCUGUGGGAAGAAAUUGUUAAAAGGCAUCCAAGACUUGCUGCCAUUCAGGAUCAAGUGGUCUUUGCUGUUCGCCAGGAAUACGUGCUUCUUGGUGAUCAGCUUCUGGUCCUGCAGUCAGGUGACGAGGUUGCUAUUAUCCCACCUAUCAGCGGGGGCUAACUCCAGGCAAAGACACUUGGGGUCUAGUGAUUUGUGGAUGACUUUCCCCUUCUGCUGGAACUCUGUAAGCGGGUGUAACAUGCAUCCCCUGCAGUAGACAGCUGUGAUGCUGACACUAAGAUUGAAGCCAUGAAUGAAAGUGAAGAUGAGCCCAAAGAUU
This is an RNA transcript of Dermochelys coriacea (leatherback sea turtle), 624 nucleotides long. It is a transcript of the gene named molybdopterin synthase sulfur carrier subunit-like, with no coding region annotated. The record is from RefSeq and is a predicted model, not a curated record. Lineage: Eukaryota; Metazoa; Chordata; Testudines; Dermochelyidae. The transcript is spliced from 5 exons.